Molecule: long non-coding RNA, 1036 nt
Filed under: Sus scrofa (pig)
Lineage: Eukaryota; Metazoa; Chordata; Mammalia; Artiodactyla; Suidae
Source: RNAcentral
AUUCAAACAGGUGAGGAUAGAGAGUCAGGACACUUAAGGAAGGUGGGCUGGUGGUAGGACCGCAUUUCUUCUUUCCCAACUCUGAGAGAGAAAAACCAUCCUCCUUGCCUUCAAGAAGCUUCUGGAAAACAGGGCAUAGACAGUAAGGGCUUCCUCAGAGACUAGGAAGCUUGGGAGGAAAGGUAGAGAGGUUAGGGCAGUAGAUUGGAAGAUGAUUUUUGGAUAAGGUGGCAGUCGUAAUCGACUUUAGAAAACAAAAAGGAUUUCACCAAGCAGAGGGCAAAGGAAGACCAGUGUGCUCUAAGAACACUUGCUGUGCAUUCGUCUCUCCAGAGUUGGACCAGAGAGCAGAGUCACAUGGGAAAAGGGGACACAAUCCCAAACCUGAAGAUGAAGGAGUUCUGGUAUUGAGGUGCUGCCCCCUUGCGGUGCAGACUCAGCCCGCUGCUCUUGUCGCCUGUGUGAUGCUGCUGGCCAAGCAAGUGCGGAUCCACUGGGCACUGGCUGCCCCCUAGUGUUGACAACGUGGUAUUGACAGCUUACCAAAGCUUGUAGGAGUCCCUGAGCCCUGGAGCUCAGAGAUUGUCCAAGGAUACCGCAGAAAUGGGCCCAAAACUCCGUGUAAUCACUGGUUCUAGGGCCCAUUGGGAGCAACUUGGUUCUCAAUUGUGUGUGGGCUGCAACACUACAGACAGUCACAUUCACAUUCAAAAUAAAUGCUGUCCUGCAGACUCUGCUCCCUUCCUUGGUCACUGGCUAUGCUUACCUCCUACCUUAGCAAAAAUUUACCUGCGGGUUACAUUUUAAAAGAAAAGUGAAUUUAGAAAGAAAAUGAAAUUUAUGACAGCAUCUGAACUCACAAACCAUAAUUGCAAUCGACACAACUAAAUAACUUGUCGGCAGUAAUAUUACUCCCUCUGGGCUCAGCAAAUCUAAAAGUCUGCGUUGGCCCUGGAAGUUUUCAUUUCACUUAUUCCGAAAAGAUGAAGGGAAAACAAGUGUGCGAGGGAGCAAUUAUUAUACAGAUAUCCUUGCA